GGGGAUAUAGCUCAGCUGGUUAGAGCACCUGCCUUACAAGCAGGGGGUCUCCUGUUCGAAUCAGGAUAUCCCCA
Molecule: transfer RNA, 74 nt
Filed under: Pseudobacteriovorax antillogorgiicola
Lineage: Bacteria; Pseudomonadati; Bdellovibrionota; Oligoflexia; Oligoflexales; Pseudobacteriovoracaceae
Rfam family: tRNA
About the family: Transfer RNA (tRNA) molecules are approximately 80 nucleotides in length. Their secondary structure includes four short double-helical elements and three loops (D, anti-codon, and T loops).
Source: Rfam by way of RNAcentral